This 222-nucleotide ribosomal RNA is filed under the name Triticum aestivum (bread wheat). RNAcentral's name for it is "partial small subunit ribosomal RNA". Lineage: Eukaryota; Viridiplantae; Streptophyta; Magnoliopsida; Poales; Poaceae. The record is from RNAcentral.
AUGGAUAUAAACCUACUGAACUGGAAUGUUAGGGGCCUGAACAACCCUGCCCGCCGUCGUGUCGUCCAAAAUUUGUGCAAUACCUGGAAGUGUAACAUCGUGUGCCUACAAGAGACUAAGAUCGCUGAUCUAUCAAGAAAUCUAGUGGUGGAGACAUUGGGGCCCAGAUUUGGGGAUAAUUUCUUGUUCAAAGGGGCUGACGGCACACGAGGCGGCAUCCUG